GAACUGCGAUAAGUAAUGUGAAUUGCAGAAUUCAGUGAAUCAUCGAGUCUUUGAACGCACAUUGCGCCCCCUGGCAUUCCGGGGGGGCAUGCCUGUCCGAGCGUCAUUGCUGCCCUUCAAGCCCGGCUUGUGUGUUGGGUCGUCGUCCCCCCCGGGGGACGGACCCGAAAGGCAGCGGCGGCACCGUGUCCGGUCCUCGAGCGUAUGGGGCUUUGUCACCCGCUCGAUUAGGACCGGCCGAGCGCCCGCCGGCGUCAAACCCCCAAUCUUUCUAAGGUUGACCUCGGAUCAGGUAGGGAUACCCGCUGAACUUAAGC
Molecule: unclassified non-coding RNA, 317 nt
Filed under: plant metagenome
Description: partial contains 5.8S ribosomal RNA, internal transcribed spacer 2, and large subunit ribosomal RNA
Rfam family: 5.8S ribosomal RNA (bases 1-106)
Source: RNAcentral